GAUUAAGUUAUUAAGGGCGCACGGUGGAUGCCUUGGCACUAGAAGCCGACGAAGGACGUUACUAACGACGAUAUGCUUUGGGUAGCUGUAAGUAAGCGUUGAUCCAGAGAUUUCCGAAUGGGGGAACCCAGCACGAGUUAUGUCGUGUUAUCGACAAGUGAAUUCAUAGCUUGUCAGAAGGCAGACCCGGAGAACUGAAACAUCUUAGUACCCGGAGGAAGAGAAAGAAAAAUCGAUUCCCUGAGUAGCGGCGAGCGAAACGGGAAGAGCCCAAACCAAUAAGCUUGCUUAUUGGGGUUGUAGGACACUCUAUACGGAGUUACAAAGGAAUAUAUUAGACGAAUCAUCUGGAAAGUUGAAUCAAAGAAGGUAAUAAUCCUGUAGUUGAAAAUAUAUUCUCUCUUGAGUGGAUCCUGAGUACGACGGAGCACGUGAAAUUCCGUCGGAAUCUGGGAGGACCAUCUCUUAAGGCUAAAUACUCUCUAGUGACCGAUAGUGAACCAGUACCGUGAGGGAAAGGUGAAAAGUACCCCGGAAGGGGAGUGAAAGAGAACUUGAAACCGUGUGCUUACAAGUAGUCAGAGCCCGUUAAUGGGUGAUGGCGUGCCUUUUGUAGAAUGAACCGGCGAGUUACGAUCUGAUGCAAGGUUAAGCAGGAAAUGUGGAGCCGUAGCGAAAGCAAGUCUGAAUAGGGCGUUGAGUAUUUGGUCGUAGACCCGAAACCAGGUGAUCUACCCAUGGUCAGGUUGAAGUUCAGGUAACACUGAAUGGAGGACCGAACCGACUUACGUUGAAAAGUGAGCGGAUGAACUGUGGGUAGCGGAGAAAUUCCAAUCGAACUUGGAGAUAGCUGGUUCUCUCCGAAAUAGCUUUAGGGCUAGCCUCAAGUGAUGAUUAUUGGAGGUAGAGCACUGUUUGGACGAGGGGCCCCUCUCGGGUUACCGAAUUCAGACAAACUCCGAAUGCCAAUUAAUUUAACUUGGGAGUCAGAACAUGGGUGAUAAGGUCCGUGUUCGAAAGGGAAACAGCCCAGACCACCAGCUAAGGUCCCAAAAUAUAUGUUAAGUGGAAAAGGAUGUGGCGUUGCCCAGACAACUAGGAUGUUGGCUUAGAAGCAGCCAUCAUUUAAAGAGUGCGUAAUAGCUCACUAGUCGAGUGACACUGCGCCGAAAAUGUACCGGGGCUAAACAUAUUACCGAAGCUGUGGAUUGUCCGUAGGACAAUGGUAGGAGAGCGUUCUAAGGGCGUUGAAGCAUGAUCGCAAGGACAUGUGGAGCGCUUAGAAGUGAGAAUGCCGGUGUGAGUAGCGAAAGACGGGUGAGAAUCCCGUCCACCGAUUGACUAAGGUUUCCAGAGGAAGGCUCGUCCGCUCUGGGUUAGUCGGGUCCUAAGCUGAGGCCGACAGGCGUAGGCGAUGGAUAACAGGUUGAUAUUCCUGUACCACCUAGCAUCGUUUUAAUCGAUGGGGGGACGCAGUAGGAUAGGCGAAGCGUACGAUUGGAUUGUACGUCCAAGCAGUGAGAUUGAGUGUUAGGCAAAUCCGGCACUCUUAAGAUUGAGCUGUGAUGGGGAGAGGAAAUUGUUUCCUCGAGUCGUUGAUUUCACACUGCCGAGAAAAGCCUCUAGAUAGAUAAUAGGUGCCCGUACCGCAAACCGACACAGGUAGUCAAGAUGAGAAUUCUAAGGUGAGCGAGCGAACUCUCGUUAAGGAACUCGGCAAAAUGACCCCGUAACUUCGGGAGAAGGGGUGCUCUUUAGGGUGCAAGCCCAGAAGAGCCGCAGUGAAUAGGCCCAAGCGACUGUUUAUCAAAAACACAGGUCUCUGCUAAACCGUAAGGUGAUGUAUAGGGGCUGACGCCUGCCCGGUGCUGGAAGGUUAAGAGGAGUAGUUAGCUUCUGCGAAGCUACGAAUCGAAGCCCCAGUAAACGGCGGCCGUAACUAUAACGGUCCUAAGGUAGCGAAAUUCCUUGUCGGGUAAGUUCCGACCCGCACGAAAGGCGUAACGAUUUGGGCACUGUCUCAACGAGAGACUCGGUGAAAUCAUAGUACCUGUGAAGAUGCAGGUUACCCGCGACAGGACGGAAAGACCCCGUGGAGCUUUACUGUAGCCUGAUAUUGAAAUUCGGCACAGCUUGUACAGGAUAGGUAGGAGCCUUUGAAACGUGAGCGCUAGCUUACGUGGAGGCGCUGGUGGGAUACUACCCUAGCUGUGUUGGCUUUCUAACCCGCACCACUUAUCGUGGUGGGAGACAGUGUCAGGCGGGCAGUUUGACUGGGGCGGUCGCCUCCUAAAAGGUAACGGAGGCGCUCAAAGGUUCCCUCAGAAUGGUUGGAAAUCAUUCAUAGAGUGUAAAGGCAUAAGGGAGCUUGACUGCGAGACCUACAAGUCGAGCAGGGUCGAAAGACGGACUUAGUGAUCCGGUGGUUCCGCAUGGAAGGGCCAUCGCUCAACGGAUAAAAGCUACCCCGGGGAUAACAGGCUUAUCUCCCCCAAGAGUUCACAUCGACGGGGAGGUUUGGCACCUCGAUGUCGGCUCAUCGCAUCCUGGGGCUGUAGUCGGUCCCAAGGGUUGGGCUGUUCGCCCAUUAAAGCGGUACGCGAGCUGGGUUCAGAACGUCGUGAGACAGUUCGGUCCCUAUCCGUCGUGGGCGUAGGAAAUUUGAGAGGAGCUGUCCUUAGUACGAGAGGACCGGGAUGGACAUACCUCUGGUGUACCAGUUGUCGUGCCAACGGCAUAGCUGGGUAGCUAUGUAUGGACGGGAUAAGUGCUGAAAGCAUCUAAGCAUGAAGCCCCCCUCAAGAUGAGAUUUCCCAACUUCGGUUAUAAGAUCCCUCAAAGAUGAUGAGGUUAAUAGGUUCGAGGUGGAAGCGUGGUGACACGUGGAGCUGACGAAUACUAAUCGAUCGAAGACUUAAUCAA
Molecule: ribosomal RNA, 2922 nt
Filed under: Staphylococcus haemolyticus
Lineage: Bacteria; Bacillati; Bacillota; Bacilli; Caryophanales; Staphylococcaceae
Description: 23S ribosomal RNA
Rfam family: Bacterial large subunit ribosomal RNA
Source: RNAcentral